CACGCAGGCGGUUUGGUAAGUCAGAUGUGAAAGCCCACGGCUCAACCGUGGAAGUGCAUUUGAAACUGCUAGACUUGAGUAUCAGAGGGGAAGGUGGAAUUCCCGGUGUAGAGGUGAAAUUCGUAGAUAUCGGGAGGAAUACCGGUGGCGAAGGCGACUUUCUGGCUGAAUACUGACGCUGAGGUGCGAAAGCGUGGGGAGCAAACA
This 207-nucleotide ribosomal RNA is filed under the name uncultured bacterium. Its description in RNAcentral is "partial 16S ribosomal RNA". It matches the Rfam family "Bacterial small subunit ribosomal RNA", at positions 568 to 774 of the family's 1533-position model. The record is from RNAcentral.